This 870-nucleotide ribosomal RNA is filed under the name uncultured archaeon. RNAcentral's name for it is "bacterial SSU rRNA". It matches the Rfam family "Archaeal small subunit ribosomal RNA", at positions 1 to 878 of the family's 1478-position model. The record is from RNAcentral.
CUCCGGGUUGAUCCCGCCGGACCUGACUGCUAUCGGAUUGGUACUAAGCCAUGCGAGUCAUUGUAGCAAUACAAGGCGGACGGCUCAGUAACACGUAGUCAACCUAACUCGUGGACACGGAUAACCUCGGGAAACUGAGAAUAAACCGCGAUAGAUCAUUAUGCCUGGAAUGGCUUAUGGUCCAAACAGUUUACUGCCAUGGGAUGGGACUGCGGCCUAUCAGCUUGUUGGUGAGGUAAUGGCCCACCAAGGCUAUAACAGGUACGGGCUCUGAGAGGAGAAGCCCGGAGAUGGGUACUGAGACACGGACCCAGGCCCUAUGGGGCGCAGCAGGCGAGAAACCUUAGCAAUGUGCGAAAGCACGACUGGGUCAGUCCGAGUGAUUCCUGAUAAAGGAGUCUUUUAUCUGUCCUAAAAGCACAGGUGAAUAAGGGGUGGGCAAGUCUGGUGUCAGCCGCCGCGGUAAUACCAGCACCUCGAGUGGUCAGGACGUUUAUUGGGCCUAAAGCAUCCGUAGCCGGCUUUGCAAGUCUCCGGUUAAAUCCACCUGCUCAACAGAUGGGCUGCUGGAGAUACUACAAAGCUAGGGAGUGGGAGAGGCAGACGGUAUUCAGUGGGUAGGGGUAAAAUCCUCUGAUCCAUCGAGGACCACCAGUGGCGAAGGCGGUCUGCCAGAACACGUUCGACGGUGAGGGAUGAAAGCUGGGGGAGCAAACCGGAUUAGAUACCCGGGUAGUCCCAGCUGUAAACGAUGCAAACUCGGUGAUGCAUUGGCUUAUGGCCAAUGCAGUGCCGCAGGGAAGCCGUUAAGUUUGCCGCCUGGGAAGUACGGACGCAAGUCUGAAACUUAAAGGAAUUGGCGGGGGAGCA